GUGGGGAAUAUUGGACAAUGGGGGAAACCCUGAUCCAGCCAUGCCGCGUGUGUGAAGAAGGCCUUAGGGUUGUAAAGCACUUUAAGCGAGGAGGAAGGGCUCUAGGUUAAUACCUUGGAGCAUUGACGUUACUCGCAGAAUAAGCACCGGCUAACUCUGUGCCAGCAGCCGCGGUAAUACAGAGGGUGCGAGCGUUAAUCGGAAUUACUGGGCGUAAAGCGCGCGUAGGCGGUUGUGUAAGUUGGAGGUGAAAUCCCCGGGCUUAACCUGGGCACUGCCUUCAAAACUGCACGGCUAGAGUAUGGGAGAGGAAGGUAGAAUUCCAGGUGUAGCGGUGAAAUGCGUAGAGAUCUGGAGGAAUACCGAUGGCGAAGGCAGCCUUCUGGCCUAAUACUGACGCUGAGGUGCGAAAGCAUGGGGAGCAAACAGGAUUAGAUACCCGAGUAGUCC
This 450-nucleotide ribosomal RNA is filed under the name uncultured bacterium. Its description in RNAcentral is "bacterial SSU rRNA". It matches the Rfam family "Bacterial small subunit ribosomal RNA", at positions 354 to 796 of the family's 1533-position model. The record is from RNAcentral.